Pongo abelii (Sumatran orangutan) is the source of this 117-nucleotide unclassified non-coding RNA. It matches the Rfam family "Metazoan signal recognition particle RNA". From Rfam's summary of the family: The signal recognition particle (SRP) is a universally conserved ribonucleoprotein. It is involved in the co-translational targeting of proteins to membranes. NCBI's taxonomy places the organism in Eukaryota, Metazoa, Chordata, Mammalia, Primates, Hominidae. The record is from Ensembl.
GCCGGGCGUGGUGGCUCACGCCUGUAAUCCCAGCACUUUGGGAGGCCGAGGCGGGGGUAUCACCUGAGGUCAGGAGUUUGAGGCCAGCCUGACCAACAUGGAGAAACCCCAUCUCUA